UGCGAUGGUCCCUGCGGAU
RNAcentral lists this small nuclear RNA (19 nucleotides) under Arabidopsis thaliana (thale cress). RNAcentral's name for it is "snRNA_00481". The record is from RNAcentral. Lineage: Eukaryota; Viridiplantae; Streptophyta; Magnoliopsida; Brassicales; Brassicaceae.